This 423-nucleotide ribosomal RNA is filed under the name uncultured bacterium. RNAcentral describes it as "SSU rRNA". It matches the Rfam family "Bacterial small subunit ribosomal RNA", at positions 369 to 808 of the family's 1533-position model. The record is from RNAcentral.
CANUGGGGGAAACCCUGAUGCAGCGACGCCGCGUGAGUGAAGAAGUAUUUCGGUAUGUAAAGCUCUAUCAGCAGGGNAAGAAAAUGACGGUACCUGACUAAGAAGCCCCGGCUAACUACGUGCCAGCAGCCGCGGUAAUACGUAGGGGGCAAGCGUUAUCCGGAUUUACUGGGUGUAAAGGGAGCGUAGACGGUCAAGCAAGUCAGAAGUGAAAGGCUGGGGCUCAACCCCGGGACUGCUUUUGAAACUGUUUAGCUUGAGUGAAGUAGAGGUAGGCGGAAUUCCCGGUGUAGCGGUGAAAUGCGUAGAGAUCGGGAGGAACACCAGUGGCGAAGGCGGCCUACUGGGCUUUAACUGACGCUGAGGCACGAAAGCAUGGGUAGCAAACAGGAUUAGAUACCCUGGUAGUCCAAGGGCGAAUUC